CGAGGAGUAAAACGAGAUCGGGAGCAAGGGGAGGGGCAGUUGGCGGAGUGAGGUGUGGAGUGUAUGUUGUGGGGUGUUUUUUUCAUUGUUGUUUUCUUUUCCUAGUAGAGAACGUGGGGAGCGCACAACAGGUACGAUCGUGCGAGGGAGUCGGAGCGGUAUCGAUCCUGAGAUGGUGGGAGUUGGUCGAACCAUCACAACGACGAUAGAUUUCACUUUAAUAGUAGAGAUGAACAGUUUUAAAAAAUUAAAAAGAAACA
Molecule: long non-coding RNA, 260 nt
Filed under: Hordeum vulgare
Lineage: Eukaryota; Viridiplantae; Streptophyta; Magnoliopsida; Poales; Poaceae
Description: long non-coding RNA (HVUL_LNC015093)
Source: RNAcentral